GCGGUAAUACGUAGGUGGCAAGCGUUAUCCGGAAUUAUUGGGCGUAAAGCGCGCGCAGGCGGUUUCUUAAGUCUGAUGUGAAAGCCCACGGCUCAACCGUGGAGGGUCAUUGGAAACUGGGGAACUUGAGUGCAGAAGAGAAAAGCGGAAUUCCACGUGUAGCGGUGAAAUGCGUAGAGAUGUGGAGGAACACCAGUGGCGAAGGCGGCUUUUUGGUCUGUAACUGACGCUGAGGCGCGAAAGCGUGGGGAGCAAACAGGAUUAGAUACCCUGGUAGUCCACGCCGUAAACGAUGAGUGCUAAGUGUUAGAGGGUUUCCGCCCUUUAGUGCUGCAGCUAACGCAUUAAGCACUCCGCCUGGGGAGUACGGUCGCAAGACUGAAACUC
This 387-nucleotide ribosomal RNA is filed under the name Priestia megaterium. Its description in RNAcentral is "bacterial SSU rRNA". It matches the Rfam family "Bacterial small subunit ribosomal RNA", at positions 517 to 902 of the family's 1533-position model. The record is from RNAcentral. Lineage: Bacteria; Bacillati; Bacillota; Bacilli; Caryophanales; Bacillaceae.